AAGUCGUAACAAGGUUUCCGUAGGUGAACCUGCGGAAGGAUCAUUAAUAAAUGAAAAACCUUCUUUCUUUUUGAUUUUCAAAAAGGAGAAAAAACAAGUGGUCUGGUUUUGGCCCCCUUUCUAAGGGGGACUCGAAGUCAGGCUCGAUUCAAUCGAGCGAGGUUCCUGGAGGAUACUCACCCAACAUCCUCCAUUCAACAACUCCUAUGUAUAAAUUUGUCUGAAUAAAACCAAGAAAUUUAAUUUCAAAAAUACAACUUUUGACAACGGAUCUCUUGGCUCUC
This 284-nucleotide unclassified non-coding RNA is filed under the name fungal sp. RNAcentral's name for it is "partial internal transcribed spacer region". The stretch from base 1 to 46 matches the Rfam family "Eukaryotic small subunit ribosomal RNA", at positions 1786 to 1831 of the family's 1831-position model. The record is from RNAcentral. Lineage: Eukaryota; Fungi.